RNAcentral lists this ribosomal RNA (192 nucleotides) under uncultured bacterium. RNAcentral describes it as "partial 16S ribosomal RNA". It matches the Rfam family "Bacterial small subunit ribosomal RNA", at positions 338 to 523 of the family's 1533-position model. The record is from RNAcentral.
CCUAGGGAGGCAGCAGUGGGGAAUAUUGCACAAUGGGCGCAAGCCUGAUGCAGCCAUGCCGCGUGUAUGAAGAAGGCCUUCGGGUUGUAAAGUACUUUCAGCGAGGAGGAAGGUGUUGAGGUUAAUAACCUCAGCAAUUGACGUUACUCGCAGAAGAAGCACCGGCUAACUCCGUGCCAGCAGCCGCGGUAA